RNAcentral lists this small RNA (36 nucleotides) under Propionibacterium australiense. Its description in RNAcentral is "CRISPR_Spacer". The record is from RNAcentral. Lineage: Bacteria; Bacillati; Actinomycetota; Actinomycetes; Propionibacteriales; Propionibacteriaceae.
CCGGUAUAGGGUCGCGUCGUGUGCUUCAACCUCCUU